RNAcentral lists this ribosomal RNA (253 nucleotides) under uncultured bacterium. Its description in RNAcentral is "partial 16S ribosomal RNA". It matches the Rfam family "Bacterial small subunit ribosomal RNA", at positions 524 to 776 of the family's 1533-position model. The record is from RNAcentral.
CACGUAGGGCGCAAGCGUUGUCCGGAAUUAUUUGGCGUAAAGAGCUCGUAGGCGGUUUGUCGCGUCGAAUGUGAAAACCCGGGGCUCAACCCCGGGCCUGCAUUCGAUACGGGCAGACUAGAGUUCGGUAGGGGAGUCUGGAAUUCCUGGUGUAGCGGUGAAAUGCGCAGAUAUCAGGAGGAACACCGGUGGCGAAGGCGGGACUCUGGGCCGAUACUGACGCUGAGGAGCGAAAGCGUGGGGAGCAAACAGG